This 1518-nucleotide long non-coding RNA is filed under the name Gadus morhua (Atlantic cod). RNAcentral describes it as "lncRNA (ENSGMOG00000025793.1)". Lineage: Eukaryota; Metazoa; Chordata; Actinopteri; Gadiformes; Gadidae. The record is from RNAcentral.
GAUAAUCAACUGAAUUCGCCGUUUCGACUUAGUAACGAAGAUAAAAGUGCUACGAAAAAAAACAACGACUCGAGUAUCAGCCUGCUCGAUCGAGGGGUCUUCGAUCGAUCGGAGGCAACUUCUUCCUGAAAAAGUUGCCUUUAUCUCAACAGUCCGUUCCGGGGAGGUGGUCUCGACAGGUGCACUUCAUGACCGAGUAUGCUGUUCCUGUUUAUAUUUCUAGGAUUGUUUUUCGUUGCAAAGCCUUCAAGGCGGAAGGUGAUCUCAGUAUACAACGAUUCAAGAAAGACCACGUUAGGAAAUGUUCAUCUCCACUCUCCGCAGCUCGCUGUUAGUCCCGGUGGUCUGGCUGAGGAUGGGCCGAUGUUCAGAAACGUCCAAACACAAACACAUCAGAAAAAGGAGUGGGUGGGGAAACACACCGGGUAAAAGUGUGGCUUCCUUCUGUCUCUCACACAGAAGACCGUCAGGGAUGCGCCGGCCAGGGUCUUUGGGUUGAGAAUGAAGCCCCCCUCGCGUGGUGUGCGUUUCUAAAAGCAGCAGCGACUCCCUCCCCUCCGCAGACCCCCCUUGCUUAUAUGGAUGACUUGUCAGACAAAGGCAAUAGGUUCCAACACUUUGUGAUUCGCCAGCGCAAGAACCCCGGGGUCCGAAACGAGGAGGUUCUGCAGGUCUGACACACCGAGAAAAGGGGGAGGGAAUAAAUAAAUAAGAAAUGCAUUCGGAGUUGCGGGCAUCAGAGUUUUGGAGACAUUACUACAGUGCUAAUUGUGUGAUGCUUAGCGGAGGUGUGCAGUAAUAGCACCAGCGACGCACAGAUAUCCCCGUUGGUCAGCGGAUUUAUAGCACCCUUGCCUUGAAGAUAUAGACGCGGCCCGUGCCUGGAACGAGCGCCACUGAUAUCUGGGCAUUUGGAGGGGCCAUCUCCUCGGGGCAGAGGGUCACAUCUUUGCUCUGCCUUCUGGUCAGAAUCUCUUUUGUUCUCACCAGAAUCCGCCCCAAACGUCUUUGCUCACGCACACACAUGGUAGACACCUAAAUCCACCCAAGUCCUCCCUCAUCCACCACCAGAACCACAACACAACACCGGCCCAAACUAACAGCAUCCCCCAAAAACCCAACCCUUCCAUCAACCCAUCCCCACCACCACCAUCCACCAUCCCUCUCUCCCCCUCUCUCUCUCUCUCUCUGCGGUGGCCUCCAGUCCCCCGCCCGGGCCCCUCCACCAUGGGCCCUGGCCCCUGUGCUGCUGCUGCUGCUGCUGCCACGGGCCCCGUGCCUUUAUGCUGGAUCGGAGGGGCGGUGUCUUGCUGGGACCCGGGCCCCGGGGCCGCUCCGGGGUGGCCCGCCAGCUGCCUGGGCCCCGACCAGACAGCCAACAUCUUCCCGAGUCGUGUCAGCAAUAUGGGGCCUGAGUGCGGAGCGUCUGUCCGACGGAGCCCGCUGACAUGUGGUACAGCCUAUGGCGUGUGAAUGCAUAAUGUGGCAGCCACCUCAUGGCAGCAGGUGGGGUCGGCG